GAGAGAUUAACAAGUGUCCAAAUGAGAAAACCAUCAGAAAAAGAGAGGACACAGUCUCAAUCAACACUUUGGGUAAGCUGCUCCUAGCUCAGGGGUUGUUCUCAGCGUGGGUGUGGCCGAACUGCCCGUGGCCCGUGCUACGCGGCAGGUGGAAGCGCCAGGUAAAUGCAAGGCGAAAGCUUUCGCGUUGCCAUCACUGCAGAGUGGGGCAGGGGAGGGGAAAGACGGAGACACGGGGCAACAGGGCUGUCAAGUGUUGCUGGUGUCUGAAGUCUCAGGCCGGACUCAGGGAGAAGGGAGCCUAAGUAACUGAGAGGGAACAGCCGGGCAGAGGAAGUGUGGUGUGGAAAACAGGCAGGAGGAAGACGGUGAGCGAGAAUUCAAUACUCAGGUCGUAGGAGCGCAGAGGAAGGGAGGUUCAGGCGUGCAGCCAUUCCGCCACUCCCUGACAGAGAGCCCAAGCCACCACCGGCUCUAGCAAAGCCCUGGUCCCGGGCCCAUGCCCACCUUGCCAGCGCGGGGUCGCUUCCUGUAGCUACUCUCCCAUCCUCAAACCCUGGCGGCUGUCCCCGUCUGGCCGAGCCCAAGCACCGCGUGCGGGAGAGUAACACACGCACUCUCCGACUGCCCGGCCGCCGCGCACGGUUUGGGGAAGGUCCAAGAUUGGUAUGUUUUAAAAGAUCUGCAGAUAAUUCUAAUUUAUGGUCAAAUUUGGGAGCUACUUGGAAAACUGCCUAGUAAAGAUGCUUUCUGGAGUGUGAUAUCCUCUCCUAGAGAGUCUGAAUAAGACAAAUAAUUGGCUCCAGCAGUGGGUGCAGAUAAAGAUGUAGUCUCAGGAGAAGAAGCAUAAACGGAGAAGCUGAUUCAAGAAAAUGAUUUUCUAUUGGAGUUGCUGAGGUAUCCAGACAGGAAUGUCAUGAGACUUUACUCAACUACUGCUAGGUUGAUUUUCUGGACAUACUGUAUCCUUACAGUGGGUAUCUUCCAUCUGAAGUAAUCUGUCUUUGUGAUAUGCCACAUGGAUGAGUUUACCUAUUACUCUGGCUUCUGCCCCUCACUUUCUGGGGCAGAUUAGAUAAUUCUUGAGCCCUAGCUACCUCACAGGUAAAAUAGGGAUAAUAGGAGAUACCUCGUAACUUGCUAUAAAAUUAUAUAAACUUCAGUGUUUAACCUUUCUAUAGGCUCCAAAAGUGCCAGUAGUGUGUGAUCCUCAGCACCUCAUUGAGAUAGGUGAUCAAAACCUUAUUCUAGCCACUGUGCCAAAUCGAUGACCUUAACACAUAAAUGAACUUAAUUCUUACAAUAUUCCUAGGAAGUAAGUGCCAUUAUAAUUUUUAUUUCAUAGCUGAGAAGCUAUGAGUUUAAAAAAGUUAAAUAUAAUUUAUUCAUUAUUGUUCAUAAGUGCUAUGGUUUGAAUGUGACCCCCAAAAUUUAUGUGUUGGAAACUUAACUCCCAAGGCAACAGUGUUGAAAACUGACACCUUUCAGAGGUGAUUGGGUCUUCAGGGCUCCACCCUAAUGAGUGGAUGAGUGCCAUUAUCACAGACCUGAGUUAGUUAUCGUGGGAGUGGGUUUCUGAUAAAAGGAUGAGUUUAAACCCUUCCUCCUUCUCCCUCUCCUUCUCUCUCUUUCUCCCUCUCUCAUGUGUGCACAUGCAUGCUCUCUUGCCCUUCUACCUUCCACCAUGGUAUGAUGCAACGCCAAGCCCCUCAUCAGACAUGGGGCCUUGAUAUUGAAUUUUCCAACCUCAAGAACCAUAAGGAAUAAGUUCCUGUCCUUUAUAAAUUACCCAGUCUUAGGUAUUCUGUUAGAGUAACAAAGAAAACAGACAACAACAAUGGAUUAUUUUAUUAGUAAUGCUACUGAUAACAUGUCAGGAUAAUUAUAUUUAAUUUUGCUAGGGAAAUUGCUUAUUUAGCAUGUGCUAACAUAUGGUCUUAUAUUGUUUCUGAGAUUUUCCUAAGUGUCACAGUUUUAUCUUCCCAAUAAUAUUUUAAUUGUAUUGUCCCAAUGAGAUAUAAAUAAGCAGCACUUACAUUUUGUUUGUAUCUUUUACUUCUUUUGGAGCAGGACUGAUCUUGUUAUUUUAGCUGGGUUCUGAAAACCCAGCUUGGCAAAGAUAUGCCAUCAUAUACCAGGAGGGGUCAAAUGGUUCAAAAUUAUUAAUUGGAGUCUGAACAGAAUUGUAGCCUACUUGCUUUUAUUCAGGAGACUUUCACCGGACCUUACUCCCAUGGAAGUAGAAAUGAAAUGAAAUUAAAUUUAUGUAUCAAUUUCAUGUAUUCUCAAACCAUCUGUCAUAACUACAUAGUCUUAGGAAAUGGUGAAAAUGGUAGCAUGUAUUUGGAUUCAAUUACAAAUGAAUUUUCAGGAAAAUAGAAUAUUCUAAUUUAUUAAAUACUCAGAUUAACAGAGUGUAUAGGAAUUAUUUAUUCUAAAAGUAUCAAUAUUAAAACUGUACAAGACAUUUUACUUUAUGUUUGAUAAUUCAUAAAUCAUUUUUGUUUCAUGCUAUGGUUUAGGAUAAGAAUUGUGAGCAUUUCUUUAGUUAUCAUAAUGAUAGGCUGGGUGCAGUGGCUUGUAACUGUAAUUCCAGCACUUUGGGAGGCCGAGGCAGGUAGAUCACUUGAUGUCAGGAGUUCAAGACCAGCUGGGCCAACAUGGUGAAGUCCCAUCUUUACUAAAAAUACAAAAUUAGCUGGGUGUGGUGGCACAUGCCUGUAGUUCCAGCUACUGGGUAGGCUGAGACAGAAUUACUUGAACCUGGGAGGCGGAGGCUGCAGUGAGCCGAGAUUGCAUCACUGGACUCCAGCCUGGUCAAGACAGAGUGAGACUCUGUCUCAAAAAAAAAAAAAAAAAAAAAAAGCUGGUUUACUUUAAAUAUUGUGUAAUAAAUUGAUAACUUACAUAAAUGUAGCAAAGAAAAAUGUUUUCAUAUUAUAAUAUGCAAAAAUGAAAAAUUAAGUUAUUUGAAAAGAUAAAGAAUUAAAAUUUAUAGAGUUUAUAUGAUCUUUAUGUUAGAUUUUUUUUUACAUUCAUUGUAAACUCUGACUCUCACAAUAGCUAUUAUGUUCAUUUUACAGAUAAAGAAAAUGCAUCUCAGAGGGAUAGUCCUAGGUUCCCAAACUUUUUCAGUGCACAAUGUUCCUAGUAUCUCAGUAAUUUUUCAUACCACUCUGUCUAAAGGUGCUCCGAAAAGUUUUCUUGACUAAGUUAUUAUUUUUAAAAUCUUAAUAGGUACUUAGGUUCUAACAACUUAGUAGCCACUUGAAAAUAAAAUAUACAUAAUUUGAAGGUAAAGUUAAUAUUUUAACUUCAUUCUUAACCACAAUUGCUAUCAGGAUGUAUGUGCCUUUUGGGCACUGCACGGCUUUGCAAAGUUUACAUCAUAUGGGAUAACACCACCCCAAUUUCUUGUUUUACAUUGAAUUUGAAGUGGUACUUGCUUAUUAUACUAAUUUCUGAAAACCCAGCUUUGCAAAAAUAUAACGUCAUUGAAAGGAGUGUGGCGUGAUCUAAUGUUGACCCUCUUUGCACUGUAUUGGAAAAUUAUCACUGUGUUGCUCUUGAAAACUUAGAAUAUCCUAUGGCACUCCUUGGAAUAUCUUGGCCUACAGUUUGGGAAACUCAUGAUUAAAUGAUUUCUCAAAAUAACACAGCUAAUAAGUGUUGCAGUUAGGAUUCAAAACCAUAAUAUGUUUUUGCAUUCAAGGUAUCUUAGUAACUGAAGAUAUUUGAUCUUUUAUUCACUAAGACUUUACCACUGUACCAUUCAAUGGAACCCUAUUUAAAAACAAAGUAUAUUAAAACAUUAUUUAAUGAUGUUAUUUGAGGUUAUACAUAGAAGAAGUAAAUGAAUCCUUAACAAUUUUAAAAAUAAUUUUUAAAACUCAUAAAAACAAUUUGACAAAUAUAAAAAAUAGUAUCAUGCAUGAUAUUUUCCCCUGAUAACAGAGAUAAAAAUGCUUUAAUCUUUUAUAUAACAUUUAAAUCAGGACUAUCCAAUUUGUUACAAAUUUCAAAUGUUGAAUUCUCAGGUAAGAUUUGUAUAACCACAAAGCUGUGCAUUUAAAAAUAUUUCUUGUCCUUCAGAUUCACUGUAAAAAGUUCAUAGUGGCUUAUGGAGGAGGCUCGCAAAUGAUUUUUCCCAUCUCUCCCAAAUAGAGGCACAUGAUUCAUCUUAGAGGAAAAUUUUAUAAAAUAAUCUCAUUUCUGUUCAAUUUAAUUUUUAUGUAAAUAUUCAUAUUGGUCCUGCUUUGUUUUUAUAUAAGUCAGUUGACAUUUUGACAAAUAAGAACAGAAAUUAUGUCCCUACUUUUUUGCUUUUUCCCAUAUAGGGGCAUCAAUGAAAAGAAAAAUGGUGUAUCAUGAAAGCCACUUUCAUUCUUGCCUUGCAAGAUAAUGAAUUUACAUAUAGAUUGGGGUGAAAUACAUGAGGCCUUUACUAUAUGAGGUGUUUUUUGUUUUUUUCCUGUUUUCAUACUUGGAUAUCAUUUGAUUGCACAAACAGAAGAUUUCAGUGUCAUAGCCUUGGGUGCUCAAACCCAAAUAAAUUUCUACUGAUGCAUUUGUGUAAUGAGAACUUACAUACUGGAAGAAUAAAUAUGCUGGAUUUAUGAGAAUUAGGUAUUAGAGCAUGUUCAAUUUUUACUCCAAUCUGUUUCUGAACCAUAGUCUAUGAAAAGUUAUUUUAAUCCAUGAAAUUCCUUCACUCAGACCUUUUUUUGUCUUGAAUACCUGUGAAAUUGAUAUCUCUGUUUAAGCAAUCUCAUUAGUCUUUAAUACAUGAUUCAUAAGGACUGAAUUGUUAAAUAUUAUGUUUAUUAAGAAUAUAGCAUUUCUAUAAAUGAAAUUAUUUUGACAGAUUAUUUGUAGAUUUUUCUGAAUAUUAAAAUACUGUAUGUAUUUGUUUUGGAUGAAAUUAAUACUGGGCUGGAGUCCUUUGUGAUGCAAAGCAUAUUUGAGUUGACACUUUGUCAUCUGAUUAGGGAACCUGGAGAAAAUGGAGCUGUUGGUUUGACAGAGUUCAGUGUUGAGGUUGAGGUUUUUGUCAGGAGGGCAUGGAAAGUGUUGAAGCAGCUGGCCUAGCUGUUCUUGUUUGGGAAAAGCAGUGAUUUACCAAACAUCUUCAUUUACCUAUAUUCAACUUUUUUAUUUAAAGCUGGUCAUCAGUUUUCAAAUAUCAUUUUUCUUUAUUUGCUUAUUUUUGUGCUUUGAAAUUCUUUUGCUUUCAAAUAGACAUGAUUUUUUUUCUUUUUUCUUCAUUCUUUCUUCAAUAUCUAUUUCCCGGUAAUGUAAACAGUUAAAUGUUGAAAUAAUUGCUAAAGGAUACUGUAAAAGCACCAUAUUUGGAAUCUUUACCAGUAAGACAGUUUUUCUGGGAUUAUUUUAGGUCAUAAAUUAAUGUAGAAGGUUAAAAUUGCAUACUUUUCUAAGAGUCUACUAAUCCCAGGGUUCUGAAAUCUACUAUUUCAAACAAAAUGGAAGAUGAGUUGAAAUUUAAAUUUACAGACGAUUGAUACUGGUUAAGAAGAUUAGUUUGGAGAAAAGUGUAGCAAAGAGGAAAUACUGUUC
Molecule: long non-coding RNA, 5574 nt
Filed under: Callithrix jacchus (white-tufted-ear marmoset)
Lineage: Eukaryota; Metazoa; Chordata; Mammalia; Primates; Cebidae
Description: lncRNA (ENSCJAG00000075046.1)
Source: RNAcentral